This 541-nucleotide ribosomal RNA is filed under the name uncultured bacterium. Its description in RNAcentral is "partial 16S ribosomal RNA". It matches the Rfam family "Bacterial small subunit ribosomal RNA", at positions 355 to 900 of the family's 1533-position model. The record is from RNAcentral.
UGGGGAAUAUUGCACAAUGGGCGAAAGCCUGAUGCAGCAACGCCGCGUGAGGGACGACGGCCUUCGGGUUGUAAACCUCUUUUAGCAAGGAAGAAGCGAAAGUGACGGUACUUGCAGAAAAAGCGCCGGCUAACUACGUGCCAGCAGCCGCGGUAAUACGUAGGGCGCAAGCGUUAUCCGGAAUUAUUGGGCGUAAAGAGCUCGUAGGCGGUUUGUCGCGUCUGCUGUGAAAACCCGAGGCUCAACCUCGGGCCUGCAGUGGGUACGGGCAGACUAGAGUGCGGUAGGGGAGAUUAGAACUCCUGGUGUAGCGGUGGAAUGCGCAGAUAUCAGGAAGAACACCGAUGGCGAAGGCAGAUCUCUGGGCCCGUAACUGACGCUGAGGAGCGAAAGGGUGGGGAGCAAAACAGGCCUUAGAUGACCCUGGUAGUCCACCCCCGUAAACGUUGGGAACUAGUUGUGGGGUCCAUUCCACGGAUUCCGUGACGCAGCUAACGCAUUAAGUUCCCCGCCUGGGGGAGUACGGCCGCAAGGCUAAAAC